UUAACCUCUUAAACUCUGCGGACCCGGUACCGGGUCCAAAAAUAGCAUGCAAAAUGUUCCUGUUUCAUUUGCAAAGCCUUCCUUAUAUGGUAUCAGCCCAUAUAUGGGUUCAUUUGAAAGUUUAGAGUGUUUUCUUUACAAAGAAUACCAUUAAUUGGGGUUUUAUGAUUCAUAAAGUAGUAAAAUUAAGCUAAGAAAUAUAUUUCCCCCCCACACAAAUUUCCGUCUAACGAUUAGAAAUAUUUUUUCAUAAGAAUGUGUAUUUAAAAUAUUUUUCACAAAACAGUCAAGUCAUAUAUCACAAGAAAGCUCUCAUUCUCAGGAAUCUGACGAUGUAGAUCAUUUUAUUGUGUGACAAUCACAGAUCGAAUGAUCUUCAACAGAAUCGCGAUGUAAAAUUUCUCACCUCAUUGCAAAUUAUUAUUUAUCCAUCUUAGCACCGCUUCAGUCAGCCGCAAACAGCCACACAUACCUAUAUACUCGAUAUAAUCUUUUAGAUUAGAAUCUCUUCUUUCAAACAAGACCAUUUUUACGUUUCUGCGUGCUUCCAUUGGUGAGAUAUAAAGCGUUAUGCCCAGACGCGCUCAAAGAGAAAGACGGACUUUUUGAGACAGAAGCGCUCUUCAUGUCAUAAGACAAGCCUAAGCGGCUUUCUUCUGAUAUAUCGAUCGGAUCUCUUUUGUGAACCACUAUUUGUCCCUUCAGCUGUCAGUCUGAGCUGUGUGCUCCACUCAGAGCUGCUGAAUUUGACACCUCUGCGUCAACAGCGGGGGGAUGGAGUGGACAGUGAUGACCACAUCCUCCUCAGCCGGUGAAGCGCUGGCUGAUGGGAUAUUGAGUCCUGAAGUGUCCGUAAACAAAGAUCACACGCGGAAUAACUCGCGUCGCGGUGAUUAUCAAAUGUAUAAUAAUCAUACUACAAGUUAUGGAUGACCACCGUCGCCGUGGAGAGGACAGGACGCGCAUCUGGUCGUGUACAAGCUUCGGGCAGCGGAUAAGCGCUGAUAAUGCGUCAAAACAACAGAAGGGAGGCUGGAAUAUGAAAUAUUACAGAUGAUUGAGACAGACCAAGAUGUCGGAGGGCGAGCGGCCAUUCGAAAACGCACAGGACGACGGCAAUGAUGACGGAGAUGAUGUGCUUAGCAUGGAGGAGGAGCUGUGCUUAAGACUUGACACUAUGAGGGACUUUUUCCUCCAGCAGCUGAAGGCCAUAAGAUACUCGCUGUUUUCAUCUCAGACCAAGGUGCACAAGGAUUUAAAAGCCUUCAAGGAGUCCAUCUUGACGGAGGAGCUGAAUUUCUACAGAGAGAGGCUAGAGGCAAAGGUAACAUCUGACUUCCAGCUGCUGGAGGAAAACUGCAAUUCUGCUAAACGUGAUGUUGUUGAAAUGGUGAAGGCCGUUGGGGAAUCUGUGACCAAGAGGAUGGAUGCGGUGGACAGGAUAUUCCUGGCUUCGAGGAUCACUGCAAUGGAAGCGGAGGUCCGCAACACGGUGCCUUCUUUUGAAGCGAGCACGCCGACACGCCGUGCUCAUGGCCUUUUGAGCAGAGCUGAAGCACUUUCCUCCACCCAGGUGACAGAUGUGGGACAAGACACGGAGAUCUUCCUGGACCUUCAGAGUGUGGCUUCUUCAUCUCCGAUCAGCCCUGGUCAGCGUGCGGUGUUGACCACAGCAACGUCCUUUGAAUCCAGCUCUGACCAGAACCCAGAACGAGAUGAAGCACUUUCCUCCACCCAGGUUUCGGAUGUGGGACGCGACAUGGAGAUCUCCCUGGACCUUCAGAGUUUACCUCUCGCCCAGGCCGGUUCCUCGGGACUUCAGAGACAGCCCCCCACUAUGCACAAGCGCAAGCUGGCCCAGUCUCCAGACGAUCUGGAACCUGAACUUUCUGCCAAAAUAAGGCCCUACAUGAGACUGAGGCACACACGACAAGAGAAACUUACAGGACUCCAGGCUGCAUUCUUCAAUCUCCAAAUGGACAGGCUGAACAUUAAUGACACCAAGAGCCUCGCAGACAAGGCAGAAGUCAUAAAAGGAGCUGGUGAGAGACCAAGACCAAGAAUCAAGGAUCUUCAGGCGUACCUCGAAGAGAGAAUCAAGACUACUUUGAAGAGGAGAAGUAGUGAGCUUCUUGUGGAGAAAAUAAAAAAAUAAAUAAACGAACGUUACUAAAGCUAGUGUCCGAGCGUCAAUAACACGUAACACCCUGACAUUUUAGUACUGAAGUUUUCAUUUAUGAGUACAUUUACAUAAUAUACAUAAUUUUUGCACACUAAUAAGUGUUUGUCGUUGUUGUUGUUAAGUAUUGUAUUUUA
Molecule: long non-coding RNA, 2316 nt
Organism: Cyprinus carpio carpio
Lineage: Eukaryota; Metazoa; Chordata; Actinopteri; Cypriniformes; Cyprinidae
Source: Ensembl